AAACAAGAAAAGGGAAGGAAGGAAGGAAAGGAGGGAAGAAAAAGAAGGAAAGAAAGAAAGAAAGGAGAAAGAGAAAGAAAGGAAGAAAGAGAGAAAGAAAGGAAGGAAAGAAGGAAGGAAGAAAAGAAGGAAGGAGGGAAGAAAAAGGAUAGAAAGAAAGAAAGAAGGAAAGGAGAAAGAGAAAGGAAGAAAGGAAGAAAGAAAGAGAUAAAGAGAAAGAAAGGAAGGAAAAAGAGAAAAGAAGGAAGGAAGAAAGAAAGAGAUAAAGAGAAAGGAAGGAAUGAAGGAAUGAAGGAGGAAGGAAGGAAGAAGGAAAAGAAGAAAGGAAGGAAGGAGGGAAAGAAGGAAGGAAGGUGGGAAGGAAGGUGGUAAGGAAGGAAGGAAGGAAGGAAGGAAGAAAGGAAGGAAGGAAGAAAGGAAGGAAGGAAGGAAGGAAGGAAGGAAGGAAAGAAGGAAGGAAGGAAAGAAGGAAGGAAGAAAGAAAGAUGCUCAAGGGGCUUCCAUUUUAGUGAGGAUAACCUAAAUAUCUUUGUAUGGUCCUUUUCUUUCCCUUCUUCCUUCCCUUCUCCUUUUCCUUCUCAGCUCUUUUCUGGGCAUAGGGUUGGCAGCUUAGUGGGUGAUUGGUGAUAUAUUCAGGAUUUAUACAGGAUGACACAGCUGUGAGUCCAUUACAGUAUGUCAAGGUCUGUUCAAAUUGUCUUUUGGAUCAUCAGUUUCUCAGUUAAGUAGGAUUGCAGUAAGGACCUUGACUAGUUUGCAGCUCAAGUACUCUUACUCUCAUUUUCAAUAACAGUAAGAUACAUCCAUGAGCACAGAACACUAUGGAUUAUUAGGGCACAAAUUUAUGGAAUCAGAGGAUCACAAAAUGAGAGAAAGAAGAAUCUUUGGGGUCAUCUAAUCCUAUCACCUUAUUUUGCAGUUGAAGAAACUGAAGCCAAGGGAGGUUGACAGCUCUGGAGCUGGAGGAGACCUCAGAAGCUAUUUAGUCAAAAUACCUCAUUUUACAGAUGAGGAAACUGAGGCCUAGAUAAGGAAACAAAAGUAGUGAUGUCAGUUAUGGGAUUUGAACCCACAUCCUCUGGCUUCAAAUUCAUUACUCCCUUCAUUGUAACACUCUGCCUACAGCAUGGCCAUUUGUAUACUUGUUGAAAGGGUGGAAAAAAAGGGCCUAUUUUCUAUAGCCCAAGAUAAUAUGUCUUCCUUCUGAUGUCAUUACUUGGUCCCUCCUUAGGACAUCCUAAGAGAUUCCCCAUUGAACAACAGCCACAUAAGAAAUGAAUUCAGGAUUUCUUCCCAUGAGGUGACUGGUCUUCUGGACUCCAAAUCACUCUGACACAUGGCAAGGUUUCUUCCCCAUGAUGCGGUGGCAAGC
This 1372-nucleotide long non-coding RNA is filed under the name Monodelphis domestica (gray short-tailed opossum). RNAcentral's name for it is "lncRNA (ENSMODG00000037514.1)". The record is from RNAcentral. Lineage: Eukaryota; Metazoa; Chordata; Mammalia; Didelphimorphia; Didelphidae.